UAGGAUUAUGGGAUAAGAGGGUGCACUAUAAAUUUCUUAAGAUGAAAGGGCAAAAACCAUAAGAGAGAAGCCAUAAUUAUGAUUACUUCAUCCCAAACGUUUUGAUCUUACUUUUUCUUUGCUUGGAACAAUUAAUUUUACGACAGAUGGGAAGGGAACUGGAGGAGAUACUAUGACAGCAGGGUGCACAUCAUCAGCUUGUUUAGUUUCUGGUUGUUGAUCCUUUGCUCAUAGACCAUUUCAUCCUCCAAACUGCAGUUUAUACACAGCUGAUAAAUCCAAAAGUGACAACAAAAUCGAAUGUGGUUACUAUAGACGAAGUAGAUGAUAGAAUUUACCUUUCUGUUUUUGAUGAAGCUGAAGCAGGCAGAAGCAUAUUGGCUAGUGUUGUAGCAUCUUUACUACAAACUAUAAAAGUGUGCAUGAACAGCUAAAAAAGGUUACAAAGUGUGCAUGAACAUCAUCUUUACUCAUAUUGGCUAGUGUUGUAGCAUAAGAAUGGUUACCUCAUCAUAAGUUUGUCACAAUGCUAAAAGAAUCUUUGUAAUCCAGUUAUUUGUUAGAUACCUCUAGAACUCCAUACAAGUAGCUACAAACUUGCAUUGUGACAAAACUAGAGAAUACCAAAUUGUUCCUUGCUUCGUUGUAUUUCAGGUGAAAUCCUAUCAAGAAAUGUUCUAAUGGAUAUAAAUUUGAUUUACCUUUGGUAGUUAAUUUGCUAAGUCAUGAAUAUUUUGAAAGUUUUUUCGAGUUAAGAUCUUAACAAACGCAAGUGAUGCUCUUCAUUGCCUCAAAUGCAUGUGUGUUAGACAAUUGAAUUAUCUUACUAGGCUACUAGCUGAGGAAUCUCAUUACAAUAUCAUGGAUGUAUGUCAAAUGACAAUUAACUUCAAAUUGUUGCAACAAUACCAUGAACUUAUAUGCUCUGUGUAUUAAGCUCUAACUUGUGUCCCCGUGCUUUUGGAUUUCCUCAAGUAUACUAAUUAUUAACGCUUCUACAGAUGUGGCACCUACAGUUCCUUCCUCUUCUGCUGCUGCUAACAUUGAUGAGGUUCAUGCAUUGGGUUCUGGCGAUGACCAUGACUCUCCAGCCUCGCAUAGUUAGCCUAUUUUGUUUAGACUUUAUAUUGUUGGUGCUUGUGGAUGUUUUGUACUUAACGAUACAAUUGUAUGCAUUAUACUAUAUAUUAUGGUCCUUGUUGAAUGUUAAUUUAUAUUAAUAUCUGUGACUUUAAUUAAGUAUAUUUAAUAGCAUUUAUGUAAUAUGCUUGAACAGGGUACAUUUAAAAUAAUAAAUAAUUUUUUUUAAAAAAAUUAGCGACAGAUAUGUUUCGUAGCUAAAAUUACAGCACUAAAUUAAAUAUUGCGACGGAUUGGCAACAAAAAAUUUUUAUCGCUGAAACCAGGAAGAACUAGCGACGGAUUGUUUCGUUGCUAAAAAGAAUAAACGACGAAUUUUGUUAUGAAGUGUAGCGACAAAAUUAGUCAAAAUAGCGAUGACACAAAGCAAAAUAGCGACGGAUAUUUUGGUCGCAAAAUUUGGCUACAGAUAUAUUUCAUCGCUAAUCCGUCGCUAGAUCUGCGACGAUUUUGUAUUUUUCGUCGCUAUGAGCUUAGCAACGAGCAUUUUAGCGACCAACUUGAAUCCGUCCUGAAUUCGUCGCUAAACUCUUUUAGCGACGGAAAUAACAUCUACAGUGACGGAAUACGUCCGUCGCUAACCGCUGUUUUUUUUGUAGUGUUGAAACUAUUAUUACUGGGAGUUUCCUGGCACCGGGCUUGGAAAAAGACCUGGAGAGACAUGUGAUAGGCUUCGGAAGUUCCCACACCUUCUGUUUCAACCUUCUAGACCUUUUCACAUCUGCCGUUGUGGGUUUGAAUCUAAGACCGAACGUACCCAAGUUUUCAGGGAGGGACACUGGUUGUAUGAUACCCUACAAGGAUGCACCCAGACCUUUACCUAGCACAAAGCUAUUUUUCAGCAUUUUAGAGGCCACCAUGAUGGAUGUAGAGGCUAUCUUUGGAGUUGGAACACGUUUCCCUUCUAGAACCUUCUCGACCGGUACUAUUUCAAAAACUUGAUAGACCUAAGGCCCUUUGUCAUCUUCAGCCUCAAUGAACGAGACGGAGGCAUCACUGUGAGCACACAAAUUCUCCUCACCAUGCACGAUGAUCUCCUGUCUAUCCCACUCGAACUUGACCAUCUGGUGCAAAGUGGACGGGACUGCCUUGGCGACAUGUAUCCAAGGCUGACCUAAUAGCAAAUUGUAAGAAACGGCUAUGUCCAGUACCUAGAAAUCCAUGGUGAAUUCCAUCGGUCUUAUUAUCAAUUGAAGCACUAUAUCACCAAUCGAGUCUUUUUCUCCACCGUCAAAACCUCGGACGCAUAUGUUGUUUUUGUGAAUUCUAUCAUCAUCAACUUUCAACUUGUUCAGAGUAGAGAGAGGGCAGAUGUUUGUACUGGAACCAUUGUCGACUAACACCCUGGUGACCAAGAUUCUUCACAUUUUACCGUAAGAUAGAGAGCUUUGUUGUGUUCAGUACCUUCCAUAGGCAAUUCGUCAUCAGAGAAGGUGACCAUGUUUACCUCAAAUAUUUUGUUGGCGAUCUUCUCUAGAUGGUUCACCAAAAUUUUGUCGGGGACACGAGCUUCGUUCAGAAUUUUCAUCAGGGCCCGACAAUGCUCAUCAUAAUGGAUCAACAAUGAUAGCAAGGAAAUCUGAGCGGGGCAUCUUUCUCAGCUGCUCCACGAUGGAGUAAUUUGUACCUUCAUUUUCCUCAAGAACUCCUUCGCCUCUUCUUCAGUGACUACUUUCUUUACCAGAACUGGAUUAUCUCUGGAUGUUUUAGUUUUCCUUAACUUUUCCGGGGCAAAACAUCUCCCCAAACGAGUUAAUCCCCGGGUUUCAUUGACUUCUUCUUUCACUUUCUUUACCUUAUAGGUCAUUAUCACCCAUUCAUAGUUCCAUGGGAUAGCCUUGGUGUUGAUUACCGCCAACUAGGUUAUAGGCUUGAUGAUGACAGGGUCCGUACGGGCACCUUCUACAAUUAUGAUAGGCUUAUUUGCCAACCCUAGCAAGACUACUUUUGACUUUUCUUGCUUUGCUACAACAUCACUUGGGGAUCUUUUCUCAACUACCACAGAUGGCUCACUGUUUGUCAUGCUCAACUUGUUCACUGAUCAAACAACCGUUGGUUUUUUGACUGGCUUGACCUUGCUAGACCAAAUCAUCAUAACGGAUUGUGAAGGCUUCUUGGGUUCCCCCUCCUUGUGUACUAUCUCGAUCAUGUUUGUUUCCUCAUGGGUUGGCAAUGGGUUCUGAUUGGUAUUGGGUGCCUCUGGAGUUUGGACUUCAAUUCGAUUUGUGUCGAUGAGCUCCUGGAUGGAAUUUUUCAAGUGCCAGCAUUUCUCCGUAUCAUGCCCCGGAGUACUAGAACAAUAUGCACAACUCAAGGAGUAAUCAAGAUUCUUUGGAGGAGGGUUUGGAAAUUUCAACUCAAUUGGCCUCAGCAUAUCCAACUGCCUCAAUCUUAGGAAUAAACUGGUAUAAGACUCCCUCAAUGGGGUGAAAGUUUUUUUCCACUACAACCUCUCAUUUUUGAACGCUGAAUUGGGUCGGAAACCCGGGCCGGUAGGGUUUCGGUAGGCUCAUGGGGGUGGGUAAGCAUUUUGUGGAGCUGGGUAGGUGUUUUGUGGGGCUGGGGCACUCCAUUGCGAGUAGGAAGGAGGUUGAGUAUAUGACUGGGCAUGGUGGACAGAAAUCUGGGGGUCUGGUGAUGAGAAGUAAUGCUGGGUUGGAUUAUAUGGGGUUUGGGUGUAGGUUCGGUGAUAGGGUCGAGGCUGAGUAUAAUGGUGUGAUGGGCCCGUGGGUCCAAACCAUGAUCCUAAAUCAACUGUUGCCACAUCUUCUUUCUUCUUCCUUCCGAUCACUCCUCCAGUAUCAUUCUAAAUGGCUUGGGUAGUUGCUUUGAUGGCUGAGUAGCUCAUGAGUUUGCUUGAUUUAAGCCCUUCUUCCACCAUGCCACCCAUCUUCACUACCUCGUUGAAACAUUUGCCUAUAGCUGAUAUCAGAUGGCCAAAGUAAGUAGGCUCCAAAGCAUGCAGAAAGUACUCCACCAUUUCACAUAGCACAUAGGAUGCAUCAGGAUGGUCUGUUAUUUUGAAUAUUUUCCUAGACGGACCCAACCCCUGUGUUGAGUCCCCUAAGUCAAAUGCACAUGAUGCAAACAAACGUUCCUACUAGGGAUCCGACAUGAGGCUGUGUUUUUCUAGGUUUAAAUCCUGGGGUUGUGUUCUAGACCUGGCUUACCCAAGCGGACAACUCGAGCCAAAGAGAGGGUAAUGUACUGGGAUCACUAAGUCUACCCGACCUCGUUGCUGGCCCAGCCCCGUUCUUAUUUGGAAUAACUUCUACAGAAAAAGAGGGUCACAUGAACAUGUGCACCAUUUUCAGAAGACUCAUAGGGGUGACAUAAGAAGGCAGUUAUAUACAAUUCAGACAAUAUUAAAGCGGUAAACAGAUAACAUUUAUCACAAAAGGUUCACAGAAUACAGUAAUAUUAACAAUAAAUGAAACCAAGUAAAAAUCAUAUUAACAAGUUCGAAUUCUUGAACCCUGAACCAGAUAUUCUGGGUCCGUUCCCCAGCAGAGUCACGAGAGCUGUCACACCUCCUUUUUACUACCCCCGUAAGGGCAUAUUGGAGUUUUUCCAAUUUAAGUGACAAUCAAAAUGAGAUUAUUUAUUCAGAUUCAGAGUCUCUACUUGAGAUAAUUAUGGUGUCCCAAGUCACUGGUUUAAAAUUCCGAAUCGAGGAGAUUUGACUCUGUUUUAAUGUCUGCGAAACACAAAAAUCCGGGUAAGGAAUUCUGAUAACCCGGGAGAAGGCGUUAGACAUUCCCAAGUUCUGUGGUUCUAGCACGGUCACUUUGAUCAUAUUUGGCUUAUUAAACUGUUUAACUACUCAUUUAAGAACCUAUGUACAUUUGCUUCUUUUAAUUAAGAAAUAUCUUUAAAUAGGUCAUGCGUACGUGUACCCAUUUGCUUGGCGCGUCAAAACCUAUGUCACGUGUACAUGUCCACAAUUAAUAACGCUUUGUUAAUAUUAAGAAAUUUUAGUCGAAGUUGCGCGAACGCAUACCCCGAUUUUGUUUUUAAGAUCAUAAUUAGGUCACGCGAACGUGUACCCAAUCACGACAAUAUAUUAAAUCAUGCCUAAAGAAAGCCACGAUUAUUCAUGGAUUAUUUAUUCUAAAAAUAGUUAAGGUCAUUGAGAGAUCAUGAAUAUAGUUCCAUGAUUCAUUUAGGACGUAAUUCAUGAGAAACACAUUUGGCUUUAUACGAGCAGAAGAGCUGAAACUAACAAUUACAAAAAGUGUACCUUCAUAAGCUUAACAUCAUGAAUAAGACAAAAGGAAUCAAACAAGAUGAGAUCAAAAAAACUGAUAUUAAAUGCUAACUAAGGAAAAACAAAAUCUUAAGCUUAAUAUCACUUAAACUUAAGCAUAUUUGUCCAAAUUUAAGGAUUGUUACAUGAAUAGAUUCAAAUCUGAGAAAUCAAAGAGCCAUUAUUUAGUUAGCCGAGAGACGCGGAAUUUUAAUCUUGUGAUGAAGCUCAAUCCAAGCAUCCAAUUGAUUAAACCCAAGUCAACAAUGAACAGAGAUUAUCCUAAAAACCUUCAUGCUAGUCAAGAUUAACGUUAUAGAACACAGAUUGUCAACAACAAAAUCUCAGCAUGAGGAUAACAGUCAUAUCAAUAACAUAAUGAGCAAAAUAAAUACAUGUUAUCUUAGAUAAACAAAUGAAGCAUUUACCCAAUCGAUAUAACAAAUCGGUACAAAAUGAAACUUCAAAUACAGACCUUAAGCAGCUAUAAAUUUCUUCAAUACUUGACUAAAUACAGAGCCUCCAACGAACUGAAACUCGGCAACUCAAAUGGAACCUCCGAUCUAGACCUCAGAAACUCGCCGGAAUCGUGACAAAAUACAACAACAAUAGUGGUUGAAGCUCUCCUUUCGGAAGUGUCGCUGCUAGUCAUUUUUGGUGAAGUAGGGGUGUCCAAGGUUAAAGAUCGAGAAUGAGAUGGGCGGUAGAUAUGGAGGGGUGGCGUUGGUGGCAUUAGGUUGCUGAGUUUUUUGGGUGGAAAUGGGGCCGUUUAGUAUGAGGUGGGGCGCUGGUUUUUGAUUAGGCUUGCUACUGAUCCCUCUUCUUUGUUAGAAUUGGCAUGGAGAUGAAGAAGCAGGGGUCUCUUAUUGUAUUUAUGUAUGUAUUAUCGGUGAAGAAGAAGCCACGCUGGGGGGUUUCGAUUUUGGAGCUUGUGUGGCUGAUUUCUGUUAGCUAGAUUAGGGAUUUCUAGGUUAGAAUACUAAAACCUGAAGGGAACUACUGGAAAAUCUAUCUCCAUGAAGAAGAUGACGUUUUGGUGGUGGUGGUGGUGGUGGUGGUGGUGGGGGUCUCUUGACUGAAAACGGCACUGAUGGUUGUAGGGUCUUAGAGUCUAGGUUAUUUUUAGACUAGUUUUUGGUUAUAUAUAAAGGUUUUUAGGUAAAGGGGGUAUGGGUUUGGUAUUAUUGGGCCUUAAAAUUGGGCCAAAGACUAAAAAAAUAGACUACAAGAUUAAAA
This 6622-nucleotide long non-coding RNA is filed under the name Nicotiana tabacum (common tobacco). RNAcentral describes it as "long non-coding RNA (NTAB_LNC002468)". Lineage: Eukaryota; Viridiplantae; Streptophyta; Magnoliopsida; Solanales; Solanaceae. The record is from RNAcentral.